RNAcentral lists this long non-coding RNA (3607 nucleotides) under Ananas comosus (pineapple). RNAcentral describes it as "long non-coding RNA (ACOM_LNC007492)". Lineage: Eukaryota; Viridiplantae; Streptophyta; Magnoliopsida; Poales; Bromeliaceae. The record is from RNAcentral.
AAAAUUCUAUUUAAAGAAAUAAAAAAUAGCUACAAUAUCUAACAGGUCUUAAAUUGUUGUUUUUUUUUUUUUUGAGAGAGAUAGGCAGCACGCUACCCGUUUCGUUUAUUUCAUUUAGAAAUAAAUUUAGCUAGAAAUGUGAAUCAACUAGGAUUCGAAUUUGGGUCUCGGGUACCAACCACCAAGCCCUUUGCCACUUACUCUAGGGACGGUCGGUAGUCUUAAAUUGUUGUUAAAAGACCUUGGUAACAAUAGUGUAUAGGUUAUUGUAGAAACAGUAAGUGGUCCAACGGAGUUUAUGGCAAAAAGUUGAGUACUCUAUAUAGAGCUGAAAACACCUAUUUAUGGCUCUAUACAUCUCUAGAGAAAUGUAAUUGUAAGGAUUUGAUUAGAUUAGUAGUUGAUUUUUCAGUUGAAUAAAAAUUAAUAUUUAAAUUUAUUAGAGAUAAAUUAAUAUUUAAAUAUUAAUUAGAGUAUAAAUUUAACUAGAUUAUGAUAAAUAUUUAAAUUUAUUAAAGAUACACUAAAUAUAGAUUUAAAUAUUAUUGGGAGUAGAAAUACUAAUUAUGCUAUCUAGGAUUAAGGUACAUUCUAUUGAUGCACGAUAUAAGUUUUUUUUUUUUUUUUUUUUUUUUUGAGAGAUAGGUAGCAUGCUAUCCGUUUCGUUUAUUUCAUUUAGAAAUAAACUUAGCUAGAAAUGUGAAUCAACUAGGAUUCGAGCUUGGGAUCUCGGGUACCAACCACCAAGCCGUUUGCCACUUGCGCUAGGGACGGUUGGUGAUUCACUAUAUAAGUAUCAUGGUUCUCUUGAGGUGAAGUACGACCAAGUUAAUUAAGUUGAAGUUUGAAGAGGUGAGUACGGUUUAGGCUUGAGAUGUCCGUACUUAGAGAAGUUUGGCCAUGAGUUGACGCACCUAGUGCACAGGUGCAUGUGAGAGAGAAAAGAGAGUUGUUUUCUUAUGGGUUUAUAGAAGACAAGAGAAGGAUAGGAGAGUUCAAAAAGAGGGCUCUGGUUGAAGCUGCUCUAUUAUAGAAGAGGAUCGAGUCAAGUGUAAUCUUCUCUUAUUUAAUAAAUCUUAUAUUACACGUAUAUUUUUUAUUUGAUUUUUCUCUUUUUUGUAAUUAUAUUAGCUUUUAUUGAGGAGGCGGAUUUAUGGUAAAAGCCUGAUUCGACGCUUCCGUUGUUGAAUCCCAACAUUCGGUAUCGGAUCAACAGCAGUUGAUAUCAGAGUGGGUUGUGGAUUCUCAAAAUUUAGUGUCAAGGCGAGUGUCAGAUUCCCAACAAUUGGUAUCAGAACUUAAGAUUAUCGAUCUAUAGGAGAGAUCGAUGGAGCUAGAUGGCCACGAAAUUCGAAAUCGAGAAGUUCGACGGCAAGAGCAAUUUCGAAUUAUGGCAGAUUAAAGUACGGGCAAUCCUUGUAUAACAGGAUUUGGAUGAAACAUUGAACAGGAGAGAGGCAAAGCCAGUGGAGAUCACGGAUGUAGCAUGGAUGAAGAUGGAGUAGAAGGCGUUGAGUACACUUUAUCUAUUAUUAGUAGAUGAGUUUCUUUACAAUGUAGCCAGCGAAACGUCACCGGUGAAGUUGUGAAAGAAAUUAAAAGAUCUGUACAUAACCAAGUCCCUGAUGAACAGAUUGUAUCUGAAACAGCGACUGUUUACACUGCGGAUGCGAGAAACGACGAGCCUAUGCGAGCAUCUGAACGAGUUCAACAAGGUGGUGGCCCAGUUGACUAGUAUCGGAGUCAAUCUGGAUGACGAGGAUAAGACGCUGAUUUUAUUUUCUUCAAUAUGAGUGAGGCUAGGCUUUGCCGACUGAGAAUACCAUUCUAUUUAAUAUGAGUUGAGAAUAAGAUGAAAACCUCCUUAGGCUACUUCCUGAUGCCCCGAUGGCGUAUAAGCAUCUAGUGACCAUGUUACUUUAUGGCAAGGAGACUAUUAGUGCGGAGGCAGUCACAGCGGUAUUUCUCUCGAACGAGAUGUGGAAGAUGACUCAGAAGUCCAGCACGCAGAGCCGUGAUACUGCUCUGGUGUUGAGAGUGAAUAAAAACACGACAACAUCAGCGACUGGAGAUCGACAGAAGAAGCCGCUAUUCGAGGUGAAAUGCUUUUAUUGUCACAGAAAAGGGCAUGUCAAGCGCAAUUGUUGAGAACUUCAGAAUGAUUCGAAGGAGAUAAAGUGACAGAAGGAGAAAACUGUCAUGAAUCAGGACGAGGCGAUAACAGUAAUGGUGUAGGCGGCAAAAUCAGAGAUCAUCGAUUCUGAUGUGCUGUAUGUGGUGACCGAUGGUGCUAAAAUUGCGGAUGAUGCAUGGAUGCUUGAUUCGGCAUGUUCCUUUCAUGUCUGCCCAAAGAAAGAGUUUCUUGCCACCUAUAAGGCGAUUAAGGAUGAAAAGGCUUUAAUGGGGAAUGGGAUGGCGUGCAAAGUUUUGGAAGUCGUCACGUUAAAGAUCUGGAUGCACGACGGGGUCGUGAGAAUGCUAACAGAUGUGUGGCACAUUCCUGGUUUGAAACAAAAUUUGAUCUUAUUAGGCGCGUUGGACUCGAAGGGUUACGAUUUUUCAGUUUCAGGUGGAGCCAUGAGGGUUCGAAAGCGAGAUCGGGUCGUGUGCGAGGUGAACAAUCAUGGGAACUUAUAUGUUCUGAAUGGGAGCACAGUUAGAAUAAGAGCAAAGUCAACUUGGGUUCCAAAAGUUUGCGGAGGUGCAGUCGCUCGAGAUGGAGCAAUGGAUGCAGUGACAUCCGAGUGGGGAAGACAAUCUCAAGGUGGAGCUUGCAUGGUGAGUUCGACGCAGCGGUUCAAGGCUACAAAUCCAUCCAAUGUGGAGAUUAUUAGGAUUUGGUUAGAUUUGUAGUUGAUUUUCUAAUUGGAUAAUAAUUACUAUUUAAAUCUAUUAGAGAUAAAUUAAGAUUUAAAUAUUAAUUAGAGUAUAAAUCUAACUAGUUUGGAAUAAAUAUUUAAAUCUAUUAGAGAUAAACUAAAUAUAGAUUUAAAUAUUAUUUGAAAUAGGAAUUCUAAUUAUACUUGGAUUGGAGUACGUUCAAUUGAUGCAUUAUAUAAGCAUCAUGGUUCUCUUUGAGGUGAAGUACGGCCAAAUUAAUUAAGUUGAUGCUUGAAGAGGUGAGUACAGCUUAAGCUUGGGAUGUCCAUGCAUAGAAAAGCUUGGCCAUGAGUUGAGGCAUCUAGUGCACAGGUGCAUAUGAGAGAGAAAAGAGAGUUGUCUUUUUGUGAGUUUAUAGAAGACGAGAGAAGGAUAGGAGAGAUUCAAAAAGAGGGCUUAGGUUGAAGCUGCUCUAUUAUAGAAAAUGAGUCAGAUAUAAUAUUCUCUUAUUUAGUAAAUCUUAUUUUAUCCGUAUAUUUUUUUUUUUGAUUUUUCUCUCUUUUGUGAUUGUAUUAGCUUUUACUGAGGAGACGAGUUUGUGGUAAAAAUAUGAUUUGACACUUCGCAGAAUCCCAACAUUCAAUACCAAAUUAACAACAGUCAGUAUCGGAGCGGGCCAUGGAUUCUCAAAAUUCAGUGCCAAGGCGAGUACAGGAUUCCCAACAGUAAUAUAGAUUUAGGUAUCUUAUAUUAAAUUGAGUUGGUGAAACUUUGAGUUAAAUGAAAA